This 473-nucleotide ribosomal RNA is filed under the name uncultured Cellulomonas sp. Its description in RNAcentral is "bacterial SSU rRNA". It matches the Rfam family "Bacterial small subunit ribosomal RNA", at positions 916 to 1381 of the family's 1533-position model. The record is from RNAcentral. Lineage: Bacteria; Bacillati; Actinomycetota; Actinomycetes; Micrococcales; Cellulomonadaceae.
AGACGGGGCCCGCACAAGCGGUGGAGCAUGUGGUUUAAUUCGAAGCAACGCGAAGAACCUUACCAGGUCUUGACAUCCCGAUGCUAUUCUAGAGAUAGAAAGUUACUCGGUACAUCGGUGACAGGUGGUGCAUGGGUUGUCGUCAGCUCGUGUCGUGAGAUGUUGGGUUAAGUCCCGCAACGAGCGCAACCCUCGUCCUAUGUUGCCAGCGGGUCAUGCCGGGGACUCAUGGGAGACUGCCGGGGUCAACUCGGAGGAAGGUGGGAUGACGUCAAAUCAUCAUGCCCCUUAUGUCUUGGGCUUCACGCAUGCUACAAUGGCCGGUACAAAGGGCUGCGAUACCGCGAGGUGGAGCGAAUCCCAGAAAGCCGGUCUCAGUUCGGAUUGGGGUCUGCAACUCGACCCCAUGAAGUCGGAGUCGCUAGUAAUCGCAGAUCAGCAACGCUCGCGGUCCGAAUACGUUCCCGGGCCUU